GUUAGGAAUAUUGGACAAUGGGGGCAACCCUGAUCCAGCGACGCCGCGUGAGUGAUGAAGGCCUUCGGGUCGUAAAGCUCUGUUGCAGGGGAAGAACACAAUGACGGUACCCUGCUAGAAAGGAUCGGCUAACUUCGUGCCAGCAGCCGCGGUAAGACGAGGGAUCCUAGCGUUGUUCGGAAUUAUUGGGCGUAAAGCGGGUGCAGGUGGCUUGGUAAGUCAGAUGUGAAAGCCUGGGGCUUAACCCCAGAAGUGCAUUUGAUACUGCUGAGCUUGAGUGCUGGAGAGGCUAUUAGAAUUCCUGGUGUAGUGGUGAAAUACGUAGAUAUCAGGAGGAAUACCGGAGGCGAAGGCGGAUAGCUGGCCAGACACUGACACUCAGACCCGAAAGCGUGGGGAUCAAACAGGAUUAGAAACCCCAGUAGUCC
This 428-nucleotide ribosomal RNA is filed under the name uncultured bacterium. RNAcentral's name for it is "bacterial SSU rRNA". It matches the Rfam family "Bacterial small subunit ribosomal RNA", at positions 354 to 796 of the family's 1533-position model. The record is from RNAcentral.